Medicago truncatula (barrel medic) is the source of this 848-nucleotide long non-coding RNA. RefSeq lists it as uncharacterized. The transcript has 2 exons. The record is from RefSeq and is a predicted model, not a curated record. NCBI's taxonomy places the organism in Eukaryota, Viridiplantae, Streptophyta, Magnoliopsida, Fabales, Fabaceae.
AAUAACCAUCGACCCCCAUUUUGAAUCUCACGUGAGUCUUCUUUCUCUCUUCCUUCACUUGAAUCUCACAAAGAAUCAUUUUCAUCUACCACCAUUUUCUUCAUAUUUUCAGAAAUUGAUACUCACUAUCAACCUACCCAUUAACUUAAAUUUCAUCUUCUUGAACAAGAUUGUUAAAUUUUAUUUCACUUUCCAUUGAAGUUUGGAGAUUUCAACUUAGUUUGGUUUCUAGAUCUGGAUUCAUUAAAUCUCAUUGCUGAUUUCUGAAAUCUUCGAACUUGAAGUAUACCCAUCAGGAAUGUCUAUGAUCGAAAAUGUUACCAGCUUAGACAUCAAUUUGCAAAAGACCAAGGCACUCAAGUGAUCAACAAGACCAGGGUUGUGAAGGAUCUGCACUCACGAAUAAGAGUGGGUAUUUAUUCUGUUGAUUCAAUAUCUAAAAGAAGAUGUAUGAAGAUAUCAGGCAAAAAAUAUUUCAAAAGUGAAGAUGUAUGGCUAGUCUGCAAAUAUGUGUUGUGUACAUGCAAGUUUAACCAAGGUCCAUGAUCAACUGACCAAAUUUUCCGAAGCAUCGUUGAAGAUGCAUGAAGAUAUCAGGCAAAAAAAGUGAAGUGGCUCGAACUGCAUAUUACAGAACUAUCAGAGUUGAAUAAUGUUAAUUCUCAACUAUAGGCUUUGGACUGCUGUAUGCUUUGGAGAUUUUAAACGUAUAUGAAAAACACCCUAAAAAAACUAAGAACAUAUAUGGUCCUUGACUCCUUGUACUUGUUCGAAAAAAGAAAUUUGUAAGAUGGAGUAUUUGUAAAUGAUGGUCAGUUCAUGUUAAAAAGGCUUAACAUUUUUUCAUA